UACGAAGGGGGCUAGCGUUGCUCGGAAUCACUGGGCGUAAAGCGCACGUAGGCGGCUUUCUAAGUCAGGGGUGAAAUCCUGGAGCUCAACUCCAGAACUGCCUUUGAUACUGGAGAGCUGGAGUCCGGGAGAGGUGAGUGGAACUCCGAGUGUAGAGGUGAAAUUCGUAGAUAUUCGGAAGAACACCAGUGGCGAAGGCGGCUCACUGGCCCGGUACUGACGCUGAGGUGCGAAAGCGUGGGGAGCAAACAGG
This 253-nucleotide ribosomal RNA is filed under the name uncultured bacterium. RNAcentral describes it as "partial 16S ribosomal RNA". It matches the Rfam family "Bacterial small subunit ribosomal RNA", at positions 524 to 776 of the family's 1533-position model. The record is from RNAcentral.